Molecule: RNA transcript, 4601 nt
Organism: Ostrea edulis (European flat oyster)
Lineage: Eukaryota; Metazoa; Mollusca; Bivalvia; Ostreida; Ostreidae
Exons: 4
Source: RefSeq, a predicted model, not a curated record
AAGCGUUUUACAGGUGGUGUUAGCGAGCAGUGACACCUAUGGGUAGAGAAUGAAAGGAACACACGUGGUGUACACACACACACACGCGCGCGCACAUGCACACACACAGCGAGACAUCAUUAACGCACAUGUACAUGUCUUUACACAUUUACCAUGUAUGUGUGUUUACAACAGGGAGUGUGAUAUGUAUAAAACAACGAUAACUCAUGUUAUUAUUAUGAAGUCAACAAUUAAAAUAUCUCAUGUUUGAUUUUUUUUUUCUUAAGGAGGUAUGCUACACCAGAGAAAUUUGAUAUGGAUGAAAAGUUGAGGAUAUGUUCAACAAUAUUUUGAAACUGAAAACUUUCAAAUUUAUUUAUUUAGUAAAAAAAAAAAUACAGUUUUAGUUGAAAGCAAUCAGAGAAAAAUUUAAAACCCCUGCUGCAUGGACUCGAACACGCGAUCUACAGUUCAGCAGUCGACGUUCUAACCUACUGAGCUACUCAUUUAGAUUACUGUGCAGUUUACCGGACAUUCAUAAAUGAUGUCAGUUUUGAUCAGUUGAAAUCUUGUUCGGAGAGAAACAUCACGAAUUGUCCAAACACGUCCUAUUUUUCCAACGAAAUCUACAAGUAUCCCUCCUGUUUGGAGAUAGACCCAGACAACGCGUGUUACAUUGCUGCUUCAGCCUGUUCAAAAACACAAAGAGGAAAUCCAGAAGUCAGUGGUGCGGAGAACCAUUCAUCAUUCAGUACAUGGAUUGCUUUGUUGAUCUGUACAAGUGUAUUAUUUAUUUAGACGUUGUCCGAAUAACCCAUAACAAUUUGAAUUUUAGGUCACCUGAGUUUGCAAUUGGUCUGUGUCCGUCGUCGUCCGUUAACAACUUCUUCUCAUAAACUACUGGGCCAAUCUAUGUAGUAUGUAUGUGAAGGAGACCGGAAAUUGUAAAUUUCAUGACCCCCAACCCUAAGGGGCCUUAAUUUUCCGAUAAAAACCGUAAAAUUAAUGUAUUUUUUAAAAAUCUUCUUUACUCCUGGGCAUCUAGCAGAGAAAGUGAGUAUAUAGUAAUGAUGAGCAAGGAAGCUUCUACCAAAAUUGUAAAUUUCAUGACCCCUGUGGUAGGGAUUCUGACCCCACGGUGAAGCCAAACUUACUACAUUUGUAUAUAGUGUUUAUGUGUAAAACAUUUAAAUAACAUCUCCUUUAGGGCUAUUGAUACUAAAUUGAAACUGAAUGGAUAUUUAGAUAGAGCAGGCAGUCCUUUACUAAAAUUGUAAAUUUGAUGAUCCCAGGGAUAGGGGUUUGGGUAUUAGGGUGGGGCCAAACUUAGUAAAUAGUAAUUAUGUAAAAAUUUGCUGAUACUGUAUAAAAUCUAAAUGCAUACUAAGGAAAAGCAGAAAAGGAUGUACAAGAAAUGGGGUAUUUCAAAGCCCAGGGUUAUGACUCUAGGAUGAGUCCAAAUUAGUAACAAUUUCGAUGCACCAGAUUUGAAGUUUUAAGAAUACAUCUUGUUUUAUACUGUUCCUGAACAAUAGAAUUUAGCUUAGAUAUUCAGAACAGGAUACGUUUUCUAGAUUUUAUAGCCCUUGGGAGUAGUGAUACUUUUUUCACUAGUACUCAGGUGACCGAUAAGGCCUGUGGGCCUCUUGUCUCAACUGGAUUUGGAGUUUCAACAUUUUAGCUAAUUUUCCGGAAGUAUAAAGUGAUGUUGAGUUUGAGAAAUCAACACAUACAGCCACAAUCUUAUACUGCAUCCCAAUAUUUUACAAAAUCCCUUACAAAAAGAUAUAUUGCAUUAUCCAAGAAAUGUUUUACCAUGUCCCUAUCUUUACUCCUCACUCAAUUUUUUUAUAUUAACUGCUGUGAAAGAGAAACGCCAAAUGUACUGCCCCAUAAUUGCUAGAAGUGGUUUAAAUCAAAUGCAGAUCCUCCGAAAUUCCAAGUAACUCUUACUAAUUUGAAAUCACAAAACAUAUUCCAAAAUCAACGAGAUCAAAACGUACAGGAUCUUAUCACCUUAAUAUCGUGUGUUUUCUCUCAACUAAUUCGAUAUGCGAGGGUAUGUUCUCCGUAUGAUCAAUUUUUUAAACCCGAGGCCUAAGUUGAUGUUACAAGGGUUUCAAGUUUCAUUUGGCAAUUUUAUGGUCGUUAUCAUGAUAUUUUUGCAAAUUGUAUUGUGUUGUUUAUUGGCUUUAAGCCUUACUACAUAGUCAAUUACAGAGUAUAAACAAAAAAGCUGUAUAUAAUAUGAAAAGUGGAGUGAAUAUUAGAGGAUGGACAUACAUGAAGAGAGUUAUAAGUCAAGUUUACAUUGUUUUUAAAAACCAACAUACACAUUAGACGAUAGUUUGGCUAGAUCGUAAGAGUAAAGCGCUUUUUAAAAUUUACCCAGAUUACAGAGUUAUUUUCUAUUAUGAAUUGACAUCAAUUGUACCAGUUUACUUUUUUAUAUAUGCAGAUCUGAGGAUUUUGUACAAAGGACAUAUUAAAAUAAAAUGAUAUUCGUCCUCAAUUUCGUUCAAAUUACAAAAUUCACACAAUCGAUCUUGUCUUGGUGUGCCAUUAAAUAUCAACCUUGUUCAAUUCUAAGAUGGUGAGCAGACAAUCUACUUUGCUAAAAGAUUAAUAAGAUUUUCCGGAAUAAAUCUGUCACUGGGUAGAAUGCUGUCUGAAGUGAUUCAUACCGAGUAUAAUGCUAUUUGAUCAAGAUGGGGGCUCACUUCGGGUGUGACCGGUCAACACGAGACACCUGGUUCAACCGCUGAUGUUUCUGGGGUUUUGUCCUCGCCCUGCUCUUAAUUUUGUAUUCUUUUUAGGAUUCAUUAGAUUGAUCACUGUUCGUUAUCUUCACCUUGUUCAUCGAAUGGGAUCAUGAUUUUUAUUUCUAAUGCUGAACAAUUUUUUUUUUAAAAUGGUAUCAAAUCGCACAACCUAACCACCAGGUUUAUAAGAAUGUACUGUGUAUAGCAAGCACAUUUGUGAAGGACCAACUUAUAGAUAACCUUAGAAUUAACGAUCUUGUCGAUAAUCGCGGGAACUCUUUUUUUCUCGAUAAAUUGUUGAUAUUGGUCGAUAAGGAUAUAUCAAAAAACUAUUUUCCCUUGGGAACCGGGAUAGAAUAGGUCCUCAGUACCCCUUGCUUGUAAAAAGCAACUAAAUGGGACCGUCCUUCGGAUGAGACCGCAAAAACUGAGGUCCCGUGUCAUAACAUGUGUGGCAAGAUCCCUCCCUGCUCAAAGACCGUAAGCGGAGUAGAGGCCCAAAUUUUGCAGCCCUUCGCCGGCAAUGAUUACAGCUAUUGCGCAACGUAUUUAUGUCAAUAUGUAAUGGUUCUAUUUCAUUAUGUGGUUUAUUAUUGUCAUUGGCGACAUGUACUCUUUAAAACUGCUUUAUGUAUGCGGGGUAAAAAUUUUGUUAGGGCAGCUAGUCUUGUGCAAUAUACGACCACAACAUUAAUUCAAAAGUGUAAUGGGUUUUUUGGUGGGUUUUUUUUUUUUUUUUUUUUUUUUUACCUUAACUAUGUAUGUCAGCGCUUACUGAAAAAAAAAAGAAUUUGAAGAUGUGCUCAAUGACCUAGACUUUCCCCGCUUCGAUUCGCUUAUUCCCUUGGUUAAAAAUAUAGCAAGUAGCUUCGUCAAUGUAUUUUAGAUAUUCUUGCGAUGAUCAGCCUCUGAAUUACGGACAUUCGGUAUAUUAUAUAUGCGCAUUUAUUUAGUUUUCAUGGAUAGUAGUGUCUCAUGUACAUAUAUUUUCAUUCACUGUGUGUAUUCUGUAUUCUGCUUAACUUUAUUGAAACUAUCACACAGUUUGUUUCAAUCUAGUUAAAUCCGGUGUUUUAGUAUUGUUUAUGUCUAUAUAUUUCAUAAACUCCGCGGACCCCCCUUUUUUGCGGUAUUGUUAAAGUUGGAAACUGUUUUUUGUUUGGUUGGGUUUUUUAAAACCCUUUUAUUUGAAUUUAGAAUUAUAAUUUAACACUUACCUAUUUUAUACAAUGACUUAUUUUAUGUGUUUUGUGGUUUAUCCCUUUUAAACAAUUUCUUCUUUAUGGAGACGAGUUAUGGUCCGGUGAGUUUCAUCUGUGUGCGAGGUCAUGACACAGUCUGUACAUAACGAUUAUCACAUGUAUAAUGAUAUAAGUGGAUGUUAAUCUUUAUUAUAGAUGGUUUUCAUAUGACGUAUUUUGACCCGGGGUUAUUCCCAUUGGCCGCCAUCUUGUAGGUCAAACUGGUGGAUUUUCCUCUUUGGACAACCAAUUUCAAACAUGUAAGGCAGAAAUAUAUGGGGGGAAAUCUUUGCAAUAUUGCAAUUAUGAAGUAAAAGAUGCAUUAACAAAUGUAUAUUAAUAAGAAAAGCAGUUUAUCUCCACCUCAGUGACCAGAAUAACAAGGCUGAUUUUGGUUGAAUAAUGAAGGAAUCCGGGCAUGUUAACCUACAAUAUGGCGGCCAAUGGGAAAUAACUCUUGCUUAAUCGCUUCGAUGGAAAACCAUCUAUAGAGGUACUGGUCUGUUUUUAACCUUUUGAUUGUAUAUUUCAAAAAUUUUAUAUUUUAAUGUAUUUUGUGAUGAAAUAGUUGUGUGAAUGCUUAUACUGUUUGAAACAAUGAUUAAAAACUAAAACAUUA